GACGAAGGAUGCAAGCGUUAUCCGGAUUCAUUGGGUUUAAAGGGAGCGUAGGCGGACUUGUAAGUCAGUGGUGAAAUCUUUGGGCUUAACCCAGAAACUGCCAUUGAUACUGCAGGUCUAGAGUACAGUUGCCGUUGGCGGAAUAUGACAUGUAGUGGUGAAAUACUUAGAUAUGUCAUAGAACACCGAUUGCGAAGGCAGCUAACGAAGCUGUAACUGACGCUGAGGCUCGAAAGUGCGGGGAUCAAAC
Molecule: ribosomal RNA, 250 nt
Filed under: uncultured bacterium
Lineage: Bacteria
Description: partial 16S ribosomal RNA
Rfam family: Bacterial small subunit ribosomal RNA
Source: RNAcentral